GCGACAGGCUUAACACAUGCAAGUCGAGGGGCAGCACAGGUAGCAAUACCGGGUGGCGACCGGCGCACGGGUGAGUAACGCGUAUGCAACUUACCUAUCAGAGGGGGAUAACCCGGCGAAAGUCGGACUAAUACCGCAUGAAGCAGGGGCCCCGCAUGGGGAUAUUUGCUAAAGAUUCAUCGCUGAUAGAUAGGCAUGCGCUCCAUUAGGCAGUUGGCGGGGUAACGGCCCACCAAACCGACGAUGGAUAGGGGUUCUGAGAGGAAGGUCCCCCACAUUGGUACUGAGACACGGACCAAACUCCUACGGGAGGCAGCAGUGAGGAAUAUUGGUCAAUGGCCGAGAGGCUGAACCAGCCAAGUCGCGUGAGGGAUGAAGGUUCUAUGGAUCGUAAACCUCUUUUAUAAGGGAAUAAAGUGCGGGACGUGUCCCGUUUUGUAUGUACCUUAUGAAUAAGGAUCGGCUAACUCCGUGCCAGCAGCCGCGGUAAUACGGAGGAUCCGAGCGUUAUCCGGAUUUAUUGGGUUUAAAGGGUGCGUAGGCGGCCUUUUAAGUCAGCGGUGAAAGUCUGUGGCUCAACCAUAGAAUUGCCGUUGAAACUGGGGGGCUUGAGUAUGUUUGAGGCAGGCGGAAUGCGUGGUGUAGCGGUGAAAUGCAUAGAUAUCACGCAGAACCCCGAUUGCGAAGGCAGCCUGCCAAGCCAUGACUGACGCUGAUGCACGAAAGCGUGGGGAUCAAACAGGAUUAGAUACCCUGGUAGUCCACGCAGUAAACGAUGAUCACUAGCUGUUUGCGAUACACUGUAAGCGGCACAGCGAAAGCGUUAAGUGAUCCACCUGGGGAGUACGCCGGCAACGGUGAAACUCAAAGGAAUUGACGGGGGCCCGCACAAGCGGAGGAACAUGUGGUUUAAUUCGAUGAUACGCGAGGAACCUUACCCGGGUUUGAACGCAUUCGGACCGAGGUGGAAACACCUUUUCUAGCAAUAGCCGUUUGCGAGGUGCUGCAUGGUUGUCGUCAGCUCGUGCCGUGAGGUGUCGGCUUAAGUGCCAUAACGAGCGCAACCCUUGCCACUAGUUACUAACAGGUAAAGCUGAGGACUCUGGUGGGACUGCCAGCGUAAGCUGCGAGGAAGGCGGGGAUGACGUCAAAUCAGCACGGCCCUUACAUCCGGGGCGACACACGUGUUACAAUGGCGUGGACAAAGGGAGGCCACCUGGUGACAGGGAGCGAAUCCCCAAACCACGUCUCAGUUCGGAUCGGAGUCUGCAACCCGACUCCGUGAAGCUGGAUUCGCUAGUAAUCGCGCAUCAGCCAUGGCGCGGUGAAUACGUUCCCGGGCCUUGUACACACCGCCCGUCAAGCCAUGGGAGCCGGGGGUACCUGAAGUCCGUAACCGCGAGGAUCGGCCUAGGGUAAAACUGGUGACUGGGGCUAAGU
This 1440-nucleotide ribosomal RNA is filed under the name uncultured organism. RNAcentral describes it as "16S ribosomal RNA". It matches the Rfam family "Bacterial small subunit ribosomal RNA". The record is from RNAcentral.